This 29-nucleotide non-coding RNA is filed under the name Homo sapiens (human). Lineage: Eukaryota; Metazoa; Chordata; Mammalia; Primates; Hominidae. The record is from RNAcentral.
UCAUAAGAAGAGGCCUGGUUGGCAAGGGU